This 67-nucleotide transfer RNA is filed under the name Batrachoseps wrighti (Oregon slender salamander). Its description in RNAcentral is "tRNA-Arg". It matches the Rfam family "tRNA". From Rfam's summary of the family: Transfer RNA (tRNA) molecules are approximately 80 nucleotides in length. Their secondary structure includes four short double-helical elements and three loops (D, anti-codon, and T loops). The record is from RNAcentral. Lineage: Eukaryota; Metazoa; Chordata; Amphibia; Caudata; Plethodontidae.
AAGUACUUAGUCUAAAAAGACAACUGAUUUCGACUCAGUUAAUUCUGGCCAAACCCAGAAGUAUUUU